GACGAACCACACAAACGUUAUUCGGAAUCACUGGGCUUAAAGGGUGCGUAGGCUGCGCAGAAAGUUGGGUGUGAAAUCCCUUGGCUUAACCAAGGAACUGCGCCCAAAACUACUGUGCUCGAGGGAGAUAGAGGUGAGCGGAACUUAGGGUGGAGCGGUGAAAUGCGUUGAUAUCCUAAGGAACACCCGUGGCGAAAGCGGCUCACUGGAUCUCUUCUGACGCUGAGGCACGAAAGCUAGGGUAGCGAACGGG
This 253-nucleotide ribosomal RNA is filed under the name uncultured bacterium. RNAcentral's name for it is "partial 16S ribosomal RNA". It matches the Rfam family "Bacterial small subunit ribosomal RNA", at positions 524 to 776 of the family's 1533-position model. The record is from RNAcentral.